This 750-nucleotide ribosomal RNA is filed under the name uncultured Actinomycetales bacterium. RNAcentral's name for it is "bacterial SSU rRNA". It matches the Rfam family "Bacterial small subunit ribosomal RNA", at positions 25 to 790 of the family's 1533-position model. Lineage: Bacteria; Bacillati; Actinomycetota; Actinomycetes; Actinomycetales. The record is from RNAcentral.
CAGGACGAACGCUGGCGGCGUGCUUAACACAUGCAAGUCGAACGGAAAGGCCCUGCUUGCAGGGUACUCGAGUGGCGAACGGGUGAGUAACACGUGGGUGAUCUGCCCUGCACUUCGGGAUAAGCUUGGGAAACUGGGUCUAAUACCGGAUAGGAACCAUCUUUAGUGUGGUGGUUGGAAAGUUUUUUCGGUGUAGGAUGAGCUCGCGGCCUAUCAGCUUGUUGGUGGGGUAAUGGCCUACCAAGGCGGCGACGGGUAGCCGGCCUGAGAGGGUGUACGGCCACAUUGGGACUGAGAUACGGCCCAGACUCCUACGGGAGGCAGCAGUGGGGAAUAUUGCACAAUGGGCGCAAGCCUGAUGCAGCGACGCCGCGUGGGGGAUGAAGGCCUUCGGGUUGUAAACUCCUUUCGCUAGGGACGAAGCUUUUUGUGACGGUACCUAGAUAAGAAGCACCGGCUAACUACGUGCCAGCAGCCGCGGUAAUACGUAGGGUGCGAGCGUUGUCCGGAAUUACUGGGCGUAAAGGGCUCGUAGGUGGUUUGUCGCGUCGUCUGUGAAAUUCUGGGGCUUAACUCCGGGCGUGCAGGCGAUACGGGCAUAACUUGAGUGCUGUAGGGGUAACUGGAAUUCCUGGUGUAGCGGUGAAAUGCGCAGAUAUCAGGAGGAACACCGAUGGCGAAGGCAGGUUACUGGGCAGUUACUGACGCUGAGGAGCGAAAGCAUGGUAGCGAACAGGAUUAGAUACCUGU